This 465-nucleotide ribosomal RNA is filed under the name Vreelandella stevensii. RNAcentral's name for it is "partial 16S ribosomal RNA". It matches the Rfam family "Bacterial small subunit ribosomal RNA", at positions 338 to 795 of the family's 1533-position model. Lineage: Bacteria; Pseudomonadati; Pseudomonadota; Gammaproteobacteria; Oceanospirillales; Halomonadaceae. The record is from RNAcentral.
CCUACGGGUGGCAGCAGUGGGGAAUAUUGGACAAUGGGCGAAAGCCUGAUCCAGCCAUGCCGCGUGUGUGAAGAAGGCCUUCGGGUUGUAAAGCACUUUCAGUGGGGAAGAAAGCCUUGGGGCUAAUACCCUCGAGGAAGGACAUCACUCACAGAAGAAGCACCGGCUAACUCCGUGCCAGCAGCCGCGGUAAUACGGAGGGUGCGAGCGUUAAUCGGAAUUACUGGGCGUAAAGCGCGCGUAGGCGGUCUGAUAAGCCGGUUGUGAAAGCCCCGGGCUCAACCUGGGAACGGCAUCCGGAACUGUCAGGCUAGAGUGCAGGAGAGGAAGGUAGAAUUCCCGGUGUAGCGGUGAAAUGCGUAGAGAUCGGGAGGAAUACCAGUGGCGAAGGCGGCCUUCUGGACUGACACUGACGCUGAGGUGCGAAAGCGUGGGUAGCAAACAGGAUUAGAUACCCGAGUAGUC